This 250-nucleotide ribosomal RNA is filed under the name uncultured bacterium. Its description in RNAcentral is "partial 16S ribosomal RNA". It matches the Rfam family "Bacterial small subunit ribosomal RNA", at positions 524 to 773 of the family's 1533-position model. The record is from RNAcentral.
CACGUAGGGGGCAAGCGUUGUCCGGAAUUACUGGGCGUAAAGGGUGCGUAGGCGGCCAAAUAAGUCAGAUGUGAAAGUCCAGGGCUUAACCGUGGAAUCGCAUUUGAAACUGUAUGGCUUGAGUGCAGGAGAGGAGAGCGGAAUUCCUAGUGUAGUGGUGAAAUGCGUAGAUAUUAGGAAGAACACCAGUGGCGAAGGCGGCUCUCUGGACUGUAACUGACGCUGAGGCACGAAAGCGUGGGGAGCGAAC